UUGUGUGUAGAUUGAUGAGGAGGGGAAACAAUUGAAUACAUUUUUGAAUAAGGCUGUGACAUAACUAAAUGUGGAAAUAGUCAAGGGGUCUGAAUACCUUCCGAAGGCACUGUAAGUAUUGAAAGAGAGAAGUGUUUAUAAUGGGUCCAACUGUUUAAAAAAGAGAACGUGGGACUGGGCUAAAUACAAAAGGAACUACAUUAACAUUAGCAUUCAAUGUGAGAGGUUUAGGCCUAGAUUCAAUCAGACCAAUUGUUAAUAGGCGCUAGCUGACACCCCAUAACUAGCCGACAAACCCAGAAUUAUUCCAAACACAUUUAAAAAGAAAGGGAAAGUCAUUGAGUUACAUCUCAGAAAACACAACACUAAAGUAUACAACAUAAUAUUACUUCAAUACAAAGCAAAAAUGUAAUAGCCUAACAAUUUCAAGUGAUUAGGUGAUCUUCUAGGUCUAUAUAGCAGUAACCUCAAGGGCUGGCGGGGAGGCCAAGAGUACUAAUUUUAUAGGCCUAUAUAGCAGUAACCUCAAGGGCUGGAGGUGGGGACAAGAAUACUGAUCUGGAGGAAGGUGAUGCUAUAGGCCUAUGUAGCAGUAACCUUAAGGGCUGGAGGUGGGGACAAGAAUACUGAUCUGGAGGAAGGUGAUGCUAUAGGCCUAUGUAGCAGUAACCUUAAGGGCUGGAGGUGGGGACAAGAAUACUGAUCUGGAGGAAGGUGAUGCUAUAGGCCUAUGUAGCAGUAACCUCAAGGGCUGGAGGUGGGGACAAGAAUACUGAUCUGGAGGAAGGUGAUGCUAUAGGCCUAUGUAGCAGUAACCUUAAGGGCUGGAGGUGGGGACAAGAAUACUGAUCUGGAGGAAGGUGAUGCUAUAGGCCUAUGUAGCAGUAACCUCAAGGGCUGGAGGUGGGGACAAGAAUACUGAUCUGGAGGAAGGUGAUGCUAUAGGCCUAUGUAGCAGUAACCUCAAGGGCUGGAGGUGGGGACAAGAAUACUGAUCUGGAGGAAGGUGAUGCUAUAGGCCUAUGUAGCAGUAACCUUAAGGGCUGGAGGUGGGGACAAGAAUACUGAUCUGGAGGAAGGUGAUGCUAUAGGCCUAUGUAGCAGUAACCUUAAGGGCUGGAGGUGGGGACAAGAAUACUGAUCUGGAGGAAGGUGAUGCUAUAGGCCUAUGUAGCAGUAACCUUAAGGGCUGGAGGUGGGGACAAGAAUACUGAUCUGGAGGAAGGUGAUGCUAUAGGCCUAUGUAGCAGUAACCUUAAGGGCUGGAGGUGGGGACAAGAAUACUGAUCUGGAGGAAGGUGAUGCUAUAGGCCUAUGUAGCAGUAACCUUAAGGGCUGGAGGUGGGGCCAAGAAUACUGAUCUGGAGGAAGGUGAUGCUAUAGGCCUAUGUAGCAGUAACCUUAAGGGCUGGGGGUAGGGACAAGAAUACUGAUCUGGAGGAAGGUGAUGCUAUAGGCCUAUGUAGCAGUAACCUUAAGGGCUGGAGGUGGGGCCAAGAAUACUGAUCUUGAGGAAGGUGAUGCUAUAGGCCUAUGUAGCAGUAACCUUAAGGGCUGGAGGUGGGGACAAGAAUACUAAUAGGAUAUCAUCAGGUCCCAGCUGGAAUAAAAUUAGUUGGUUGAACCUUGAAAGGUUUACUUAAUUUUGUCUAAUUUUAGGAAAAUUAGUUGGGCCAAAGAGAGGCUGAGGGAGGGUUGAUAGAUUUCCAAUCCAAUAUAAUCCUUCUGUGUGCCAACAGGGAGGCAAAGGCAAUGGCAUCUAGCAGUCUAUUGGUCAGGGAAGGAUUGUUGUUUGGUAAAAAUAGCAAUUUCUGCACUAGGCUGCCACUCUAUAUCAAAUGCUUCAGAAAGUGUUUUAAAUAUAGUGAACCAGUAGUCUGCCAGACAGGGACAAAACCACAUUAUGUGAGUCAAGUGUGCCAAAGAGCUUUUACACCUGUCACAUGUACCAUCAAUAUUUGGGUAGAAUUUGGAGAGCCUGGCCUUACUGAAAUGGAUACAGUGAAGUAUAAAGCUGAGCCGGACACAAGAGGAGCUUCCAUUUACCCCACGCAAGGCACUAUUCCAGACUUCGUCCAAGGUCUCUCAACCAAGUUCCUUUUCCCGCCCAGAUCUAAUUUUAUUAAGUGAUGGGUUAUCAAAGGACAUGAUUAUCUCAAAAAUACCUACAUUUGGAAAUACCUAAAUACACUUGAAUGGGGUAGAUUGCCAAUGUUGAUGACCUCGCUAUCAAAUGUAAAGGUGCCAUCAAUAUAAAGGCCAUUAAACUUAGUAAGGCCAUUCCUCUGCCACAGACUUCAAGCUGAAUCCAGUUUGGCUGAAAGGAAGAGGUGAUUAUUACAUAUAGGAACUUAGAGAAUUCACAGAAUUUAAAGUGUUGACGGAAUUAAGGCCACAUUUUAAGAAUAUUGACAACAAUUGGAUUGGAUGUGUAGCGCGAAGCUGAAAUAGUAAGAUUGGAGGUGACUAAAGCUGACAAAGAGGAAGAGAAAUAGGGGUUGACUUCUGUUUGACACAAGUCAGUUUCUGGGGUGCGAAGCCAGUAAACAAUAUUUUGUAUAGUCGAUGACCAGCAAUAAUGCAUAAAGUUAGGAAGGACUUGUGUGUUCUAUCUCUCUGGAGGAAUGCUUUAUGUAUUCUUGGACUCCCACCGCUCCCCCCAAAAAGAUAUAAGCUUAUCCACUAAAGUGAAAAAAGGCUUGGGUAGAAAAAUGGCUGAUGUUUUGGCAGUGUCGGAGGUGUAGCUGCAUUAGAGCAGUCAAAUCGGUGAGCAGCUGCUCUUGAUCACUGUCAUGAAGCCACACCGUCCCACUGGCGUUAGAAGGACAGAAUAAGAAAGUGUAGGCUAUAUAGAAAUAAUGAUGCUCUAAUUGAAAAUCAUUAAUCUAAAUAAUGAGGAUUUCUAUCAGCCUAAUCGAGGUGAAGAUUACAUCUCCAUUCUAGUGUUCGAACUUGUAAACAAGGCUACAUGGGAUUUCUCUUAAUGUGACGCUGUGCAGCCAAUAGCAAUGUCCGAUGGAGGUAUAAUGCCAGGAGCCCUUGUGGAUUUGACAGCUCUAACGCAGUUCACCUCCGACACCGCCAAAACAACCUCUAUGCAGAUGUCGGCUAAAGUGGAUCUGAUGAAUAGAGCAAUAAGAGAGUAAGGUUCAAACUUAAUUUCAAUUUACUUCACUUCUAGUCAUUCACAGUAUGUAAUAUGAAGGAUUCUCAUUACAAAUUUGAUUUGUGUUUUGUACAGAAGAAUACUGAAAGAUCAUUGAAAUAAAGUGUCCUUAAUUGCCAAGUA
Molecule: long non-coding RNA, 3289 nt
Organism: Oncorhynchus tshawytscha (Chinook salmon)
Lineage: Eukaryota; Metazoa; Chordata; Actinopteri; Salmoniformes; Salmonidae
Exons: 2
Source: RefSeq, a predicted model, not a curated record